UUAAAUAGUAAGCAGAUUUCUUAAAUGCCAAAGUGAUCAGAAAAUUUGGAACUCAAAUUUAAAAGCUUUAUAGUACGCCUCAACCACCUUCAUAUCUGACGAUCUCAUCUUCAACAAUAAAUAAAUAAAUGUUAUUAUCAAAAGUUGUUCACAAAUAGAAAAUAAUAUUUAGCCACGUAUAUUAUUCAAUUUUAGUUGAAUGAUUGCGUAAAAUGAGGGAUAUGUUUCGUUGGUGAUUCCGAGAUCCAAUCUAUUGACUAUACAAGCAAUGAUAAUGGCCCAAAUCUCACACUUUCAAACUAUGAAAUUAAAGUUACUAAGCCCAAAGAUGGAGGAUGCCCAAUAUACCGCUCCAAGCCUCCACCGCCUCAAGUGAUAGGGAAACAGCCACGCAUCGUUCAUGCAGUUAUCCUCUUGACCGUGCGCCGCUGCCUGGUGUGAAAAAGCUAACGACUUCGCCAGUAGAUCCUCGAUUUACCAUGGCUUUGUUGCCGGACCACCAAUCUUCACCUGUAAAGGGAUGCAGCUUCUCUUUGAUCGCCUUCCUCACUCAUCAUCAACCUUCAACAGCUGGCUGUGAUGAGAGCGUUCACGUCUCCGGUGAAGUUAAUCGGAAGAACUUCGCCGCCCCACUCAGGAUUGAUGGCAAGCAGACGCGAUAUUGCCCUCUUCAAACUCGGUCGACCUAGUUGAGUAGAGAUCAGAUGGAGUUAAGUGAUGCUUAGAGAGCUACCCGAGAAUCCAAUCUGAUAGAUUGGAAAUUUAUUUCUCGACUCAAACAGAAGAAAAAUAAAAACCAUUGAAGAACGGUUCUGUUUGAAUCGAAACACACAACAAAAAAAGUACAAACUCGCUAAGCGAAAGAUAAGAUCCGACCAAGCAUAGAUCGCUUGACCAGAACUAAAACAGAAAACAAAAAGAUCUGAUCUGAAAAAUUAAAAUAUUUCACAAAAGGUUUAGUCUUUUCUCUUUCUCCGUGAAAAUAGAUGUGAAAGAACAGAGAGAAGAGAAAUAUUUAUAGGCUCUGAAUGGUAACUGCGGUUUGAGCAGUGCGGGACAGGCGGUUUAACUGCGGUGCGAUUUUUAACAGUUAUAAAAAAGUAUAAAAUAUAUGGUAUAUUUAGAGAUUUUUGUUACUGUUAACUGCGGUGCAUGGCGU
Molecule: long non-coding RNA, 1159 nt
Filed under: Brassica napus (rape)
Lineage: Eukaryota; Viridiplantae; Streptophyta; Magnoliopsida; Brassicales; Brassicaceae
Description: long non-coding RNA (BNAP_LNC016345)
Source: RNAcentral